This is a long non-coding RNA of Hydra vulgaris (swiftwater hydra), 1055 nucleotides long. RefSeq lists it as uncharacterized. NCBI's taxonomy places the organism in Eukaryota, Metazoa, Cnidaria, Hydrozoa, Anthoathecata, Hydridae. The record is from RefSeq and is a predicted model, not a curated record.
UUCGGAUUUUCAUUAUUAAAUAACAAAAUGGAAAAAAUUAAUGAAGUUUUGUUGGACUCUGUAACAACUAUUUUCAUUUUGCCAUUUAUGAUGGUAGAGUUGAAAAAAGUAAACAAGAAAUAACAAGGCAGAAUUUACACUGUUUCUUAUUGGAAACAAGAUGGAACUGAUAUUGAACUGUCAAAAGAUUAAAAACUCCAGCUAGUUGCUGUUGUUAUAUCAGGGAAGUUUAAAUUUUUUUAAUUGGAGUAUGAAAUUAAUGUAUAAAUGCUCACAGUAUAGCAAGUUUUGUAACCAGCAAAAUAACUGCCCCAAGUUUUAUGGCUUGCAAAUAGGUUUUGCAAGUUUUGUGGCUUGAAAAUAAGUACAACAAGUUUUUUGACUAGCAAAUAAGUACCACAAGUUUUGUUGCUUGCAAAUAAGGUACAGCAAGAAUUGUGGCUUGCAAAGAGGUACCACACGUUUUGUGGCUUGCAAAUAUAGUACAACAAGUUUUGUAGCUUACAAAUAGGUAUUGGAAGUUUUGUGGCUUGCAAAUAUGUACUGCAAAUUUUAUGACUUGCAAAAUAAGUAUCGUAAGUUUUGUUACUUGCAAAUAAGGUACAAUAAGUUUUGUGGCUUGCAAGUAGGUACCGCAAGUUUUGUGGCUUGCAAAUUGAUAGUUGACUCUGGCUUACCUUUUCGUGGUGUCUAUUGUUAAAAAUUAUUCAUUUUGUUUCGUUAAUGUAAUUUAAAAAUUAAAUUAUUUACUAGAAGCCCAGACAAGAAAUAAUUACAUUUUUUAUUUCAAAAAAAUUGUUUUUUUUUGUGUGUUUUUUUCUCAGGUUGGAGCGGUUAAUCUGUUCCUUUACAUGAUAAUGUAUACUCAGAUGCAUCUUGUAAUGUGAAAUUGCAAGUUUCCAAAUACAUGCAAAGUAAAACUGUUGGCGACAUGGCACAUGUAUUAAAGUUUUCUGUCACGGUUGACUCAGCAAGAAUGAAGACAUUGAUACACUUUUGCAUUAUGGAAUACACAAGUUGGCAGUUCCUCGCCCACUGCCACCCAAAUACAGGUA